GAUGAACGCUGGCGGCGUGCCUAAUACAUGCAAGUCGAGCGAACAGAUGAGGAGCUUGCUCCUCUGACGUUAGCGGCGGACGGGUGAGUAACACGUGGAUAACCUACCUAUAAGACUGGGAUAACUUCGGGAAACCGGAGCUAAUACCGGAUAAUAUAUUGAACCGCAUGGUUCAAUAGUGAAAGACGGUUUUGCUGUCACUUAUAGAUGGAUCCGCGCCGCAUUAGCUAGUUGGUAAGGUAACGGCUUACCAAGGCAACGAUGCGUAGCCGACCUGAGAGGGUGAUCGGCCACACUGGAACUGAGACCCGGUCCAGACUCCUACGGGAGGCAGCAGUAGGGAAUCUUCCGCAAUGGGCGAAAGCCUGACGGAGCACCGCCGCGUGAGUGAUGAAGGUCUUCGGAUCGUAAAACUCUGUUAUUAGGGAAGAACAAAUGUGUAAGUAACUAUGCACGUCUUGACGGUACCUAAUCAGAAAGCCACGGCUAACUACGUG
This 497-nucleotide ribosomal RNA is filed under the name uncultured bacterium. RNAcentral describes it as "partial 16S ribosomal RNA". It matches the Rfam family "Bacterial small subunit ribosomal RNA", at positions 28 to 507 of the family's 1533-position model. The record is from RNAcentral.